CCUACGGGAGGCUGCAGUGAGGAAUAUUGGUCAAUGGGCGCGAGCCUGAACCAGCCACGUAGCGUGAAGGAUGAAUGCCCUACGGGUUGUAAACUUCUUUUAUAAAGGAAUAAAGUGAGGCACGUGUGCAUUUUUGUCUGUACUUUAUGAAUACGGCUCGGCUAACUCCGUGCCAGCAGCAGCGGUAAUACGGAGGGUCCGAGCGUUAUCCGGAUGUAUUGGGUUUAAAGGGAGCGUAGAUGGGUUGUUAAGUCAGUUGUGAAAGUUUGCGGCUCAACCGUAAAAUUGCAAUUGAUACUGGCAGUCUUGAGUACAGUUGAGGUAGGCGGAAUUCGUGGUGUAGCGGUGAAAUGCUUAGAUAUCACGAAGAACUCCGAUUGCGAAGGCAGCUUACUAAACUGCCACUGACAUUGAGGCUCGAAAGUGUGGGUAUCAAACAGGAUUAGAUACCCUUGUAGUC
Molecule: ribosomal RNA, 460 nt
Filed under: uncultured bacterium
Lineage: Bacteria
Description: partial 16S ribosomal RNA
Rfam family: Bacterial small subunit ribosomal RNA
Source: RNAcentral